GGGCCCCGAGUACGUGGACGGCAGCGCCUGGGCCUGACUUCAGCCACGUUGCACCCCAGGAGGCCCCGAAGCGGACCUCGGUCUGCGUCCCCCGCCGGGAAAUGAGGAGAUGGGUUGGGGUGCAUUUGAGUGUAUUGGUCAUGGACUGGAUGCCGGGAGUUUUUAAUAUAAGCGCGGAGUUUCUGUGAAAGGGAACGGCCUCACCUAAGCCCACCCAUGUCACGCGGGGAAUCAGUCAGCGUAGAAGAGCCAGUUAAGGUUUAAGGCCUGACGCCGGGUCCACCUGCAGAACCGGCGGAAGUCGAACGAGUAUCGCCGACUGGGCAGGUGAGUUUUCAUGUUCCUGUAAAAAAAAAGGCUAGUUGCGUUGAAGUUCUGAGAGUUUGGAACUCUUAAAACACUUUGUAUUUCAGUUUUCAGUUCCCUGUCGCAUUGUGAGUUGUGAAAGUCUAGAGCUGGGAUUAGUUCUUCGUUCUCAUUCCAUCUCGACUGAGCAGUUCUCCCCGCGGGGUGAUUUAGGGGCUGCAGCCUCGUGCCAGAGACCAGCAGUCUCACUGCAGCAGCUUGCAUGUAGCCUUUGUGUUGCCCGUUCACUUUUGGAAACUAGUGAAUGUGGUGUCAAAAAAGGCGUAAACUACACACUUCGCAGCCCUUUCCUGCCCUUGAGUUUGAUGUCUUUGGUGGAGGAGCUGUGGGAAAGAUGGAUGCAUGAAGCAUAGUCUGCUACCUGAAUACUACCUGGGAGCACAAGUGACCUAAGGAUGCCCUUGGUGAAGAAUUUGAAAACUUGAUCUUCACAGGAGUUGCCCGGAUCAUUUAAAAAUUUCAAGAGUCUGAGGAAAGCCAAAACUGUCUCUGGACAGUUCAUAAAUAUACAUUUAACACAAUGGGUCUGUGAAUAAAUAUUUAAAUAUGCUU
Long non-coding RNA from Myotis brandtii (Brandt's bat), 918 nucleotides. RefSeq lists it as uncharacterized. The record is from RefSeq and is a predicted model, not a curated record. NCBI's taxonomy places the organism in Eukaryota, Metazoa, Chordata, Mammalia, Chiroptera, Vespertilionidae. The transcript is spliced from 3 exons.